This 442-nucleotide ribosomal RNA is filed under the name uncultured archaeon. RNAcentral describes it as "bacterial SSU rRNA". It matches the Rfam family "Archaeal small subunit ribosomal RNA", at positions 19 to 463 of the family's 1478-position model. The record is from RNAcentral.
GGACCUGACUGCUAUCGGAUUGAUACUAAGCCAUGCGAGUCUUUGCAGUAAUGCAAGGCAUACGGCUCAGUAACACGUAGUCAACUUACCCUAUGGACGAGGAUAAUCUCGGGAAACUGAGCAUAAUACUCGAUAGAUCAUAAUGUCUGGAACGGUUUAUGGUUGAAACGAUUCGUCGCCAUAGGAUAGGACCGCGGCCUAUCAGCUUGUUGGUGAGGUAAUGGCCCACCAAGGCGAUUACAGGUACGGGCUCUGAGAGGAGAAGCCCGGAGAUGGGUACUGAGACAAGGACCCAGGCCCUAUGGGGCGCAGCAGGCGAGAAAACUUUGCAAUGUGCGAAAGCACGACGAAGGUUAAUCCGAGUGAUUUCUGCUAAAGAAAUCUUUUGCGAAGUCAUAAAACCACUAGUGAAUAAGGGGUGGGCGAAGUUCUGGUGUCAGCG